GCUUUCAUUCUCAAAUUGUUUUAAUUCGCCUGACAAACAUUUAUGGAGCAGGCAAAGAGCUGGGCUGGCGGAGACAGGAGUUGGGAGUUGUCAGUGUAGUCCUAGGGGCAAAUCCAGCCAGCUCCUUGCCACUGAGAGAAUUUCCCACGCCACAUGCCUGCACACAGAGGCUCAUUGGAAUCUGCUUUAACUCUUUUCUUCCUACUAAAAUGACUUUCUUCUCAGGAACAGAGAUGUGUUUACUCCUUUUCAUAGCUUGCACAGAGGAAAGCACUCAGUUAGGCACACAUGAGGCGCUCAGUAGGCAUUGGACUUGGUGCAGAGGAGCUCCUGAAUGCUUUUGGACCAUUUUCUGCCCAUCUUCACCUCUUCCUACAUUGAUGCUAACUCCAGCCCUCCCCAAGGAGGCUCAGGCCAGGGAUUCCAAUUUCCAAAGCAGCCAUGAUGUCCCAGUUAGAGCCAGCAGAGGAACUGUGGAUGUUGCAAACAGAAGUGCGGUGGGGCUCCCAUGCAGAGUGGGGAACCAGCCCUGAAACUAAGAGAUCAACUUCUUGGCAGGACAUUUCUGAAGAAGACUCGUACCAGGGAGCAAUAAUAGAAAGAAUGACAGGGAACAGUCCUGGGACUCUGUGUUUCCAGAGACUUGGGGAUGUGAGGGCCACUCGGAGAGAUAUGCCACACAAGGAACUCCGGGGAAGGUGCACCCUGUGAAUGCUUUUGAGGGAAGCUUCAGUCUGUAGUCAG
Microcebus murinus (gray mouse lemur) is the source of this 744-nucleotide non-coding RNA. NCBI's taxonomy places the organism in Eukaryota, Metazoa, Chordata, Mammalia, Primates, Cheirogaleidae. The record is from RefSeq and is a predicted model, not a curated record.